UAAGUAGAUAGUGAAAGCGUGGGGCUCAACCUCAUAUACAUUAUCUAAACUGCAAAGCUAGAGGGCGAGAGAGGUAACUAGAAUUCCUUGUGUAGGAGUGAAAUCCGUAGAUAUAAGGAGGAAUACCGAUGGCGUAGGCAGGUUACUGGCUCGUCCCUGACACUAAGGCACGAAAGCGUGGGGAGCAAACGGGAUUAGAUACCCCGGUAGUCCACGCCGUAAACGAUGGAUGCUA
RNAcentral lists this ribosomal RNA (235 nucleotides) under uncultured Candidatus Saccharibacteria bacterium. RNAcentral's name for it is "partial 16S ribosomal RNA". It matches the Rfam family "Bacterial small subunit ribosomal RNA", at positions 584 to 818 of the family's 1533-position model. The record is from RNAcentral. Lineage: Bacteria; Candidatus Saccharimonadota.